RNAcentral lists this ribosomal RNA (253 nucleotides) under uncultured bacterium. RNAcentral describes it as "partial 16S ribosomal RNA". It matches the Rfam family "Bacterial small subunit ribosomal RNA", at positions 524 to 776 of the family's 1533-position model. The record is from RNAcentral.
UACGUAGGUGGCAAGCGUUGUCCGGAUUUAUUGGGUUUAAAGGGCGCGUAGGCGGGUUUGCAAGUCGUCUGUGAAAUCCCCGGGCUUAACCUGGGAAUGGCAGGCGAAACUGCAGAUCUUGAGUGCUUGAGAGGUUGGCAGAAUUGCAGGUGUAGAAGUGAAAUUCGUAGAUAUCUGCAAGAACACCGGAGGCGAAGGCGGCUGACUGGCAAGACACUGACGCUAAGGCGCGAAAGCGUGGGGAUCAAACAGG